CAAUAGCGUAUAUUAAAGUUGUUGCAGUUAAAAAGCUCGUAGUUGAAUUUCGGGUCCCCGCGCUCGGCGCUUCAUUGUGCCGUCGUGGUGUCCCUCCUCGCCGUAAGGCGUCCUUUACUGUGAAAAAAUUAGAGGGUUCAAAGCAGGCAAUCGCUUGAAUACAUUAGCAUGGAAUAAUAAGAUAGGAUCUUGUCUAUUUUGUUGGUUGCGGACAACGAUAAUGAUUAAUAGGGAUAGUUGGGGGUGUCCGUAUUGAGCUGUCAGAGGUGAAAUUCUUGGAUUUGCUCAAGACGAACUACUGCGAAAGCAUUCACCAAGGAUGUUUUCAUUA
Molecule: ribosomal RNA, 331 nt
Filed under: uncultured eukaryote
Lineage: Eukaryota
Description: partial 18S ribosomal RNA
Rfam family: Eukaryotic small subunit ribosomal RNA
Source: RNAcentral